This 549-nucleotide ribosomal RNA is filed under the name uncultured Actinomycetes bacterium. RNAcentral's name for it is "bacterial SSU rRNA". It matches the Rfam family "Bacterial small subunit ribosomal RNA", at positions 255 to 804 of the family's 1533-position model. The record is from RNAcentral. Lineage: Bacteria; Bacillati; Actinomycetota; Actinomycetes.
GGGUAAUGGCCUACCAGGCGGCGACGGGUAGCCGGCCUGAGAGGGUGGACGGCCCAUUGGGACUGAGAUACGGCCCAGACUCCUACGGGAGGCAGCAGUGGGGAAUAUUGCACAAUGGGCGGAAGCCUGAUGCAGCGACGCCGCGUGGGGGAUGACGGCCUUCGGGUUGUAAACUCCUUUCGACCGCGAGGAAGCCACCUGGUUGGAAGGGUGGUGACGGUAGUGGUAGAAGAAGCACCGGCUAACUACGUGCCAGCAGCCGCGGUAAUACGUAGGGUGCGAGCGUUGUCCGGAUUUACUGGGCGUAAAGAGCUCGUAGGUGGCUUGUCGCGUCGUCUGUGAAAGUCUGGGGCUUAACUCCGGGUGUGCAGGCGAUACGGGCUGGCUUGAGUGCUGUAGGGGAGACUGGAAUUCCUGGUGUAGCGGUGGAAUGCGCAGAUAUCAGGAGGAACACCGAUGGCGAAGGCAGGUCUCUGGGCAGUCACUGACGCUGAGGAGCGAGAGCAUGGGUAGCGAACAGGAUUAGAUACCCUGGUAGUCCAUGCUGUA